Molecule: transfer RNA, 68 nt
Filed under: Panulirus versicolor (painted spiny lobster)
Lineage: Eukaryota; Metazoa; Arthropoda; Malacostraca; Decapoda; Palinuridae
Description: tRNA-Met
Source: RNAcentral
AAAAAGAUAAGCUAAGUUUUAAGCUAAUGGGCUCAUACCCCAUCCAUGUGAAUUCUUCACUCUUUUUU